UCAUGGAUUUGAGAUGCUAAGGACCCUUAAAGCUUACUACAUCAAUGAUGUCAUUGGAGUCAUGACUUGUUUACAAGUUAUAUUAAGUUGACAUUUACAAGAAUUCUUAUGAGGCUUGUAUUAGAUUAUGCUAGAGUGUACUAAUUGGCACAUCUUUGCUAUCAGAAUGCCGCCUAAGAGAGGACGCCCUGCGAGAAACAAUAACAAUCGCAGAAACCGUAACGCUGUACCCGAAGAACCACAAGAUGCUCGAGGACAUAACCCAUCCCCUCCGCCCCCAACUAGGAGAGUCGAAGAACUCUUUUUAAGGCAAAAUCCACCUACGUUUGACGGAACGAGUGAACCGGCUGAAGCUGAGAUUUGGGUGCGUGCAAUGGAACGCAUUUUCAACUUUCUACGUUGUACUGAUGAGGAGCGCCUAUCUUGCGUCUCUUUCCAAC
RNAcentral lists this long non-coding RNA (440 nucleotides) under Salvia miltiorrhiza (redroot sage). RNAcentral describes it as "long non-coding RNA (SMIL_LNC004264)". The record is from RNAcentral. Lineage: Eukaryota; Viridiplantae; Streptophyta; Magnoliopsida; Lamiales; Lamiaceae.